UCUCCAGACAAGUGAUCCUGCAGGAAAUUCUUUUCCUUUCCAAGAUAUUCUUCAACAGCCAUGUUGUGACACUUGGCCUACAUGCAGCCAAGUUUCAGCCUCAUUUCAGCCAUUGUUUUCAAAUUUAUUCAUCAAUCCUAAUUAAUGACUGCAGCCUUCAUUUUCACCUCACCACACACCUUCAUUUUCACCUCACCACACAGACCACUUAUGCUUCAGCUUAUGCUCCAGCUUUCAGGCUUUGAGGAUCAGGAGGUUUAGCAUUGCUUUCCCGUGACAGGUUUACGAUUAAACUACAGGCUUUGCCUAUUCAGGUUGAUCGGUUGGUGCAGACGGGACUGAGCUGAGGCUAGGGUUCUACGAUGUCUUUUGCUUCCGCUAAUGACUAGCUUGUCACCUCGUUCUCCAUCCCCUAAAUUGAAACUUCUAUUAUGUGGUACAAUAUUAUCUUGUUGGGCUUAGACUCUUAACCCAUAUUUCUAUUAGUGAAGCUAUCAAUGAUUAUAAUCAGAGUCACGAAACUAAACCUAUGCGAUCCUGAGUUUGAAUAUUGUCAUUUGAUUGGCAUCUCUCAACGCCUUUCAUUUUAUCUUCUUUCAUCUUA
Salvia miltiorrhiza (redroot sage) is the source of this 604-nucleotide long non-coding RNA. RefSeq lists it as uncharacterized. The record is from RefSeq and is a predicted model, not a curated record. NCBI's taxonomy places the organism in Eukaryota, Viridiplantae, Streptophyta, Magnoliopsida, Lamiales, Lamiaceae. The transcript is spliced from 3 exons.